Molecule: unclassified non-coding RNA, 336 nt
Filed under: soil metagenome
Description: partial contains 5.8S ribosomal RNA, internal transcribed spacer 2, and large subunit ribosomal RNA
Rfam family: 5.8S ribosomal RNA (bases 1-120)
Source: RNAcentral
GAUGAAGAACGCAGCCAAAUGCGAUAAGUAAUGUGAAUUGCAGAAUUCAGUGAAUCAUCGAAUCUUUGAACGCACAUUGCGCCCGCCAGUAUUCUGGCGGGCAUGCCUGUUCGAGCGUCAUUUCAACCAUCAAGCCCCCGGCUUGUGUUGGGGACCUGCGGCUGCCGCAGGCCCUGAAAACCAGUGGCGGGCUCGCUGUCACACCGAGCGUAGUAGAUUUUCAUCUCGCUCAGGGCGUGCUGCGGGUUCCGGCCGUAAAAAGCCUUAUUUACCCAAGGUUGACCUCGGAUCAGGUAGGAAGACCCGCUGAACUUAAGCAUAUCAAUAAGCGGAGGA